GGGGAAUUUUGGACAAUGGGGGAAACCCUGAUCCAGCCAUCCCGCGUGUGCGAUGAAGGCCUUCGGGUUGUAAAGCACUUUUGGCAGGAAAGAAACGUCAUGGGUUAAUACCCCGUGAAACUGACGGUACCUGCAGAAUAAGCACCGGCUAACUACGUGCCAGCAGCCGCGGUAAUACGUAGGGUGCAAGCGUUAAUCGGAAUUACUGGGCGUAAAGCGUGCGCAGGCGGUUCGGAAAGAAAGAUGUGAAAUCCCAGAGCUCAACUUUGGAACUGCAUUUUUAACUACCGGGCUAGAGUGUGUCAGAGGGAGGUGGAAUUCCGCGUGUAGCAGUGAAAUGCGUAGAUAUGCGGAGGAACACCGAUGGCGAAGGCAGCCUCCUGGGAUAACACUGACGCUCAUGCACGAAAGCGUGGGGAGCAAACAGG
This 428-nucleotide ribosomal RNA is filed under the name Acidobacteriota bacterium. Its description in RNAcentral is "Acidobacteria bacterium partial 16S ribosomal RNA". It matches the Rfam family "Bacterial small subunit ribosomal RNA", at positions 356 to 776 of the family's 1533-position model. The record is from RNAcentral. Lineage: Bacteria; Pseudomonadati; Acidobacteriota.